This 100-nucleotide small RNA is filed under the name Caenorhabditis elegans. RNAcentral's name for it is "Unclassified non-coding RNA T22B2.9". Lineage: Eukaryota; Metazoa; Nematoda; Chromadorea; Rhabditida; Rhabditidae. The record is from RNAcentral.
GAGGAUGUGCCGAAGAGUCAUCAUUCAGACUGCAGCGGGGAUUGAACCAGAGUACGAGGACCGAAGUACCGCACACUACCACUCAACCACACAGCUGUUG